RNAcentral lists this microRNA precursor (99 nucleotides) under Paramuricea clavata. The record is from RNAcentral. Lineage: Eukaryota; Metazoa; Cnidaria; Anthozoa; Malacalcyonacea; Plexauridae.
UUUAAAUAAAUGAUUACAAAGCCCAGUCGAAUUGUAAUCAAGGGUCUUGAUUACAAGGUCUUGAUUACAAUUCGACUGGGCUUUGUAAUAAUUUAUUUA